UACGUAGGGCGCAAGCGUUAUCCGGAAUUAUUGGGCGUAAAGAGCUCGUAGGCGGUUUGUCGCGUCUGCCGUGAAAGUCCGGGCUCAACUCCGGAUCUGCGGUGGGUACGGGCAGACUAGAGUGAUGUAGGGGGAGACUGGAAUUCCUGGUGUAGCGGUGAAAUGCGCAGAUAUCAGGAGGAACACCGAUGGCGAAGGCAGGUCUCUGGGCAUUAACUGACGCUGAGACGCGAAAGCGUGGGGAGCAAACAGGAUA
Molecule: ribosomal RNA, 256 nt
Filed under: uncultured bacterium
Lineage: Bacteria
Description: partial 16S ribosomal RNA
Rfam family: Bacterial small subunit ribosomal RNA
Source: RNAcentral